AAAAAAAAGGGAAAGCCGACCUGGGGCUGAUUUGAUGAAGUGAAUGCGACCAAAAAAGCAGCUCUUUGGUCCCCUCUCCUUCUCUUCUCUUCCACAUUCCUUGUGAAGAGUUGCGCCUACAAAUAUGGCAAACCCUCCUAAGAUUUCUUCCACCUUCUUCUUCCUCUCAUCAUCCUCUUCCUCUUCCUCUUCCUCUUCCACCUUCAAACUUGCUGACUUUUCUAACUUUAUUCUUUGACAUUUAUAAUACAGAUCUCUAUCUUCUUCAUUCAAUACAUACACAAUACAAUACCAAAUACAAGAUUAAUAAUAUUCUUUCUGCCUAACCUUAAAUCUUUGUUUAUCAGGUUGAAUCUUUUAUACAAGGAAUACUUACUUACAUCUAUGGGAGAAGCACCAGCUUUCUUUGCUGAUAGUCUCUUGGGAGAUUUUCCAAAUGGGAUCGAUUUGAAAUCUAAAGGCCACAAAACAGCUAUUUCUAUCGGCUCUAAAAUUUAUGUGAUUGGCGGGGCUGAUCAUGAGUCGACAGCGGUAAUUGGAGUUCAAAUAUUUGAGAAAUCUAGUGGGGAAUGGAUAAACCCCACUGUGCUGGGUACUAAACCCAAGGUCUCAAAUGGCCACUCAGCUGUGCUUUUAAAUGGUGAUCGUAUAUUGGUUAUUAAGGGCAAUUCCAAGUCUGAUGAAUGCUUUUGGUUUCUUGAGGUGGGCACCUCAUUUAUAAGAGAACAGGAAAAGACAUAUGGAACUGAGGUGGUUGCCUGGAGUAAGGGAGUUUUAGGUAAUGUGGAGAAGCCUAUUGUCAUUAGUGGCCCUUCUGGAGUGGGGAAGGGUACCUUGAUAUCUGAACUAAUGAAAGAGUUCCCAUCUAUGUUUGGAUUUUCUGUGAGCCACACGACCCGGGCCCCAAGAGAAAAAGAGCAGAAUGGAUUUCAUUACCAUUUCAGUGACCGCAGUGUAAUGGAGAGAGAGAUAAAGGAUGGGAAAUUCCUGGAGUUUGCUUCUGUUCAUGGUAAUCUUUAUGGAACCAGUGUCGAAGCAGUUGAGGUGGUUGCUGAUGCUGGCAAGCGAUGCAUCCUUGAUAUUGAUGUUCAAGGUGCAAGGUCUGUGAGAGCUAGCUCUCUUGAAGCUAUUUUCAUUUUUAUAUCUCCACCAUCAUUUGAAGAACUUGAGAAGCGCCUUCGUGCAAGAGCAACUGAGACUGAAGAGCAAAUCCAAAAGCGUCUCCGAAAUGCUAGGGCGGAACUCGAACAAGGAAACUCAUCCGGUCUCUUUGAUCAUAUUUUGGUGAACGAUGACCUAGAAAGUUGUUAUGAGAAUCUUAAGAUUCAGAAUUAGUCGACUUGCCUGUUGAACAUUUAGUCUCGAAGAUUGAUCAGAAGAUUUUAAUUAACUGUGGUGCUGGAGAAUAUGAAAAGGCAUCCGAUAGCAUGUAUGUUCUGGACUUGUCUUUGGUUAAAGGAGGGGCCCCAGGACGGACACGAGGACUAAAUCUAUUUGUGACCAAUCCUUCGACUGAUAGAGUAAAUGACGAAAAUCAGCUGAGCUAACCUACCACCUUCUGGUUUCAAUAAUUGUUUUUCACUUCUUACAUCUCUAUACGGGUAGAGAACCACAAUUUGACUACGUCAUAUCUUACAUGGAUAGUUUAGUCCCUGAUGCAGCUAUUAAAUGAGAAAUGAUUUCUAAUUAUUAAAAAAUUGUAGGUUAGCAGCCUGAACUAUUGAAAGCCUAAGAUAUGUAACUCUUCUACUCGAGGAUUGAGCAUGUUGGAUGUAAUUCUUUCAGCUUUUUCUAUAGCUUGCUUAUUCAUAUCUCUUUUUUUUCUUA
Solanum lycopersicum (tomato) is the source of this 1827-nucleotide RNA transcript. It is a transcript of the gene named guanylate kinase, with no coding region annotated. The record is from RefSeq and is marked validated. NCBI's taxonomy places the organism in Eukaryota, Viridiplantae, Streptophyta, Magnoliopsida, Solanales, Solanaceae.